GUCGCCUACGGGAGGCAGCAGUGAGGAAUAUUGGUCAAUGGGAGAGAUCCUGAACCAGCCAAGCCGCGUGAGGGAAGACGGCCCUAUGGAUUGUAAACCUCUUUAGGCGGGGAGCAAUGCCGGGCACGCGUGCCCGGAGGGAGAGUACCCGCAGAAUAAGCAUCGGCUAACUCCGUGCCAGCAGCCGCGGUAAUACGGAGGAUGCGAGCGUUAUCCGGAUUUAUUGGGUUUAAAGGGUGCGUAGGCGGAUUUUUAAGUCAGCGGUAAAAUGUCCGGGCUCAACCCGGGCCGGCCGUUG
This 298-nucleotide ribosomal RNA is filed under the name uncultured bacterium. Its description in RNAcentral is "partial 16S ribosomal RNA". It matches the Rfam family "Bacterial small subunit ribosomal RNA", at positions 334 to 629 of the family's 1533-position model. The record is from RNAcentral.